UGUGGUUGCCAAUGAUGCCUCUGCCCGG
This 28-nucleotide non-coding RNA is filed under the name Mus musculus (house mouse). Lineage: Eukaryota; Metazoa; Chordata; Mammalia; Rodentia; Muridae. The record is from RNAcentral.